AGAGUUUGAUCAUGGCUCAGAACGAACGCUGGCGGCAUGCUUAACACAUGCAAGUCGAACGGGCGGUGGCAACACCGUCAGUGGCGAACGGGUGAGUAACGCGUGGGAACCUACCCAGUAGUACGGAAUAACUGCGGGAAACUGUGGCUAAUACCGUAUGUGUCCUGAGGGACAAAGGAGCAAUCCGCUACCGGAGGGGCCCGCGUUGGAUUAGCUAGUUGGUGGGGUAACGGCCUACCAAGGCGACGAUCCAUAGCUGGUCUGAGAGGAUGAACGGCCACACUGGAACUGAGACACGGUCCAGACUCCUACGGGAGGCAGCAGUGGGGAAUCUUCCACAAUGGGCGAAAGCCUGAUGGAGCAACGCCGCGUGAGUGAUGAAGGCCUUCGGGUUGUAAAGCUCUGUUAUUCGGGACGAAAGAGCGCAUGGCUAAUAUCCAUGCGAAGUGACGGUACCGAAAGAGAAAGCCACGGCUAACUACGUGCCAGCAGCCGCGGUAAUACGUAGGUGGCAAGCGUUGUCCGGAAUUAUUGGGCGUAAAGCGCGCGCAGGCGGCCUUUUAAGUCCAUCUUAAAAGCGUGGGGCUCAACCCCAUGAGGGGAUGGAAACUGGGAGGCUGGAGUAUCGGAGAGGAAAGCGGAAUUCCUAGUGUAGCGGUGAAAUGCGUAGAGAUUAGGAAGA
RNAcentral lists this ribosomal RNA (682 nucleotides) under uncultured bacterium. RNAcentral describes it as "bacterial SSU rRNA". It matches the Rfam family "Bacterial small subunit ribosomal RNA", at positions 8 to 705 of the family's 1533-position model. The record is from RNAcentral.